This 253-nucleotide ribosomal RNA is filed under the name uncultured bacterium. Its description in RNAcentral is "partial 16S ribosomal RNA". It matches the Rfam family "Bacterial small subunit ribosomal RNA", at positions 524 to 776 of the family's 1533-position model. The record is from RNAcentral.
UACGUAGGGCGCAAGCGUUAUCCGGAAUUAUUGGGCGUAAAGAGCUCGUAGGCGGUUUGUCGCGUCUGCCGUGAAAGUCCGGGGCUCAACUCCAGAUCUGCGGUGGGUACGGGCAGACUAGAGUGCAGUAGGGGAGACUGGAAUUCCUGGUGUAGCGGUGAAAUGCGCAGAUAUCAGGAGGAACACCGAUGGCGAAGGCAGGUCUCUGGGCUGUAACUGACGCUGAGGAGCGAAAGCAUGGGGAGCGAACAGG